Molecule: long non-coding RNA, 210 nt
Filed under: Lathyrus oleraceus (garden pea)
Lineage: Eukaryota; Viridiplantae; Streptophyta; Magnoliopsida; Fabales; Fabaceae
Description: Pisum sativum (pea) long non-coding RNA (PSAT_LNC031935)
Source: RNAcentral
AAAGACACAGGGUGUUUUCUGGAGAGCGGGGUUCACAACGGCGAUCACGAGUUAUCGUCAGGCGACUGGGGUUCAACUGGAGAUCGGGGUCCAUUGUUUGGCAACAAGAGUAAUAUGAAGUUGUCGGGGUUCAAAUGCGGUGAUCAGGGAUCAUACGCGCGAAAAUAAUUGUUCGGGGUCCAAGAAAAAGCAAAAAAAAAUCAAUCAAAG